Molecule: non-coding RNA, 495 nt
Organism: Callorhinus ursinus (northern fur seal)
Lineage: Eukaryota; Metazoa; Chordata; Mammalia; Carnivora; Otariidae
Source: RefSeq, a predicted model, not a curated record
GUAUUUUAAAGAUCUCAUCAUUCUUGUGGGAGAGACACAACACGGGCGCUAGGAAAGGCAACAGAUUGCUUCUGUCAUAUCGCUUUGCUGUUUUGGAGUGUACUUAAAGGAUUAUGAUUGAUAAGGCUGUCUUGCCAGAGAAUGUUGACACAGAAUCUACAGUUCAUAAUGGAGCUACUGUACUGGCUAUCGGAAGGAGGAGAUUCGGAAGAUAGGGAGAUUCAGCUAUCGGGCUUUGAAACUUCCUGUGGUCUGUUCAAUCUAGAUGCAGAGGACCUGGAACAGUCAAGUGCUCAAGAGGUUUAAAUUGUUUUGGAUAUUCCUAUUUAUAGACAAAAAUAUUUUUCCAAUUCAGAUCCUCAGUUGUUAUGCGGAAGAAAGUCAUACUCUUCUUCACCAUCCGUUUUAUUUGAAAUGAUUAGUAUUGUCGAGUAUCACCAAACAUUUUCUGUUUGAAUCAAAGUAUAGAAAAAAAUAAAAUCAAUUCUAUAUGUU